UACGUAGGGUGCAAGCGUUGUCCGGAAUUAUUGGGCGUAAAGAGCUCGUAGGCGGUUUGUCGCGUCUGCUGUGAAAAUCCAGGGCUUAACCCUGGACCUGCAGUGGGUACGGGCAGACUAGAGUGCGGUAGGGGAGAUCGGAAUUCCUGGUGUAGCGGUGAAAUGCGCAGAUAUCAGGAGGAACACCGGUGGCGAAGGCGGAUCUCUGGGACGGUACUGACGCUGAGACGCGAAAGCGUGGGGAGCGAACAGG
This 253-nucleotide ribosomal RNA is filed under the name uncultured bacterium. RNAcentral describes it as "partial 16S ribosomal RNA". It matches the Rfam family "Bacterial small subunit ribosomal RNA", at positions 524 to 776 of the family's 1533-position model. The record is from RNAcentral.